This is a long non-coding RNA of Sycon ciliatum, 457 nucleotides long. RefSeq lists it as uncharacterized. The record is from RefSeq and is a predicted model, not a curated record. The transcript has 4 exons. NCBI's taxonomy places the organism in Eukaryota, Metazoa, Porifera, Calcarea, Leucosolenida, Sycettidae.
GGAGAGCGAAUCCCAGGCCCAUUUGCUGCAUUCACUAAAACGUGUUUGGAAUAAAACAUUCCCUUCAGAAGCCGGGUAAAAACACUGAAAGCAGUUUAGAGUUUUGUGACAGCCUCGGUUGUGAACCACAAUGCUGCCGACAUAGCUACGUCCACGACGGGUGUUGAAAUGGCACGCUAGCUAGCCCCUAGCGCACGACGCAGGGACAUGCAGGCUCAUUGAGCAGCUAGGACGAUGGAUAUACAUUUACUUGCAAGAGGGAAUUAUGGUUCUAUGAACUCUAUUCCAGGACGAUAUGGUGGUCAGUGUCGGCGUUGGAGCCAUGGAUGGCCAGAUAGCUAUUCCAGAAAGCUAUGGUGGUCAGUGUCAACAUUUGAGGCGUGAAUGGCCAGAAAGCUAUACAACAAGAUCAGGGUGGCGAUGGUCAGUUCUUGAGCUUUGAAUGGGCAGAAAGGUG